This 707-nucleotide ribosomal RNA is filed under the name Salmonella enterica. RNAcentral describes it as "partial 23S ribosomal RNA". It matches the Rfam family "Bacterial large subunit ribosomal RNA", at positions 2224 to 2925 of the family's 2925-position model. The record is from RNAcentral. Lineage: Bacteria; Pseudomonadati; Pseudomonadota; Gammaproteobacteria; Enterobacterales; Enterobacteriaceae.
AACGUGGACCCGUUACCCGGGUUGCGGACAGUGUCUGGUGGGUAGUUUGACUGGGGCGGUCUCCUCCUAAAGAGUAACGGAGGAGCACGAAGGUUGGCUAAUCCUGGUCGGACAUCAGGAGGUUAGUGCAAUGGCAUAAGCCAGCUUGACUGCGAGCGUGACGGCGCGAGCAGGUGCGAAAGCAGGUCAUAGUGAUCCGGUGGUUCUGAAUGGAAGGGCCAUCGCUCAACGGAUAAAAGGUACUCCGGGGAUAACAGGCUGAUACCGCCCAAGAGUUCAUAUCGACGGCGGUGUUUGGCACCUCGAUGUCGGCUCAUCACAUCCUGGGGCUGAAGUAGGUCCCAAGGGUAUGGCUGUUCGCCAUUUAAAGUGGUACGCGAGCUGGGUUUAGAACGUCGUGAGACAGUUCGGUCCCUAUCUGCCGUGGGCGCUGGAGAACUGAGGGGGGCUGCUCCUAGUACGAGAGGACCGGAGUGGACGCAUCACUGGUGUUCGGGUUGUCAUGCCAAUGGCACUGCCCGGUAGCUAAAUGCGGAAGAGAUAAGUGCUGAAAGCAUCUAAGCACGAAACUUGCCCCGAGAUGAGUUCUCCCUGAGACUUAGAGUCUCCUGAAGGAACGUUGAAGACGACGACGUUGAUAGGCCGGGUGUGUAAGCGCAGCGAUGCGUUGAGCUAACCGGUACUAAUGAACCGUGAGGCUUAACCUU